Molecule: ribosomal RNA, 459 nt
Filed under: uncultured bacterium
Lineage: Bacteria
Description: partial 16S ribosomal RNA
Rfam family: Bacterial small subunit ribosomal RNA
Source: RNAcentral
CCUACGGGAGGCAGCAGUGAGGAAUAUUGGUCAAUGGUCGGGAGACUGGACCAGCCAAGCCGCGUGAGGGAUGAAGGUACAGAGUAUCGUAAACUUCUUUUGUCAGGGAAUAAAGGCAGGGACGUGUCCCCGGUUGAGUGUACUUGAAGAAAAAGCAUCGGCUAACUCCGUGCCAGCAGCCGCGGUAAUACGGAGGAUGCGAGCGUUAUCCGGAUUUAUUGGGUUUAAAGGGGGCGUAGGGGGUCUGUUAAGUCAGCGGUAAAGGUCGGGGGCUCAACCCCGGCCCGCCGUUGAAACUGGCAGUCUUGAGUGGGGGAGAGGUAUGCGGAAUGCGCGGUGUAGCGGUGAAAUGCAUAGAUAUCGCGCAGAACUCCGAUUGCGAAGGCAGCAUGCCGGCUCCACACUGACGCUGAGGCACGAAAGCGUGGGUAUCGAACAGGAUUAGAUACCCCAGUAGUC